GACGAACGCUGGCGGCGUGCUUAACACAUGCAAGUCGAACGGAAAGGCCCUGCUUUUUUGUGGUUCUCGAGUGGCGAACGUGUGAGUAACACGUGAGUAACCUUCCCUUGACUUGGUGAUAACUUCAGGAAACUGGGGCUAAUACCUGAUAGGAGCUCCUGCUGCAUGGUGGGGUUUGGAAAUUUUAGGCGGUUGGGGAUGGACUGGCGGCUUAUCAGCUUGUGGGGGGGGUAUCCGCUUACCAAGGGUUUGGAGGGUAGCCUGCAUGAGAGGGGGAACGGCCACAAUGGGACUACGGUACGGACCAGACUGGAACGGGAGGCAGUAGUGGGGAAUAUGGCACAAUGGGGGGAAGUCUGAUGAAGAAACGCUGCGUGCGGGAUGAAGGCCUUCGGGUUGUAAACCGCUUUAGCCUGUGACGAAGCGUUAGUGACGGUAAUAGGUAAAGAAGCACCGGCUAACUACGUG
This 468-nucleotide ribosomal RNA is filed under the name uncultured bacterium. RNAcentral's name for it is "partial 16S ribosomal RNA". It matches the Rfam family "Bacterial small subunit ribosomal RNA", at positions 28 to 507 of the family's 1533-position model. The record is from RNAcentral.